Molecule: long non-coding RNA, 3870 nt
Organism: Hirundo rustica (Barn swallow)
Lineage: Eukaryota; Metazoa; Chordata; Aves; Passeriformes; Hirundinidae
Exons: 8
Source: RefSeq, a predicted model, not a curated record
ACACAGAGUGGCGCCUCGGAAGCGCUCUGUGUUUUGGGAGCUUCCUGAGGGCCCCCGCCCGCCAUUUUCUCUCCCUCAGGAACCUCUAUUGGCGGACCCUGCGGUUUUCUCAUGCCAUCACACCUUAUUGUUUCGAGCCGGUUACUUUGGUUACGUCAGGGAAAAAUAACACAAAUUAACUUUUCGCUUACGUGGCCGUGCAGGGCAAAAGCUUUCGGGGUUUUGCCUGCCAGUCCCAAGUGAAGGCGCAGAGGUGGGCUCGCUGCUGGAGAAGGUCCCCCGUAGCUCUGCGUGCUGCAGGACACAAAUCAUCCUCAGCUCUAACAACACCACAGUGUAUUAUCGUCAGUCCAACAUCUGAGGUGCAGCAUUGCAUGACCUGGAAAUACCAUUUAAAUAGGAUCUCAUCAAGUCUGAAGGAGCCAUGCCCAGAGCCAGGGACUAGAGAGAGCAGCCUGCAAAAGGAAGCUGGGUUGUGACAUGGAGACAGAAGAUGAAAAUUCCUACACAUGGGGGGAGAACUACAUAGUGGAAGGUUACUCUCAGCUCCUAUUUCUGACUCUUGUACUGACCACAGAUUUUCACUGACUUUACAAGAACUGUGGUGCUAGUAACUAAAAGUGUUAUUGCCAUCUGUUUUACUAAAGUAAUAAUCUCUAUUAUUUAGGCUUUUCCACCAAAACAACUUUAAUGUUUAUCAAGGAUCAGUACUUAAAUAAAAUAGUAUUAAGAAAAGCUAUUAAUUUCUGAAAACAGACUUUUCUAGUCACAGUCAUAGGAGAUCUUACGAACAAAGAAGCUUGACUAUGAGCUAGAAAAGAAGUGUAAAUUGGAAAUAUCCAAGGCCAGAUUGGACAGAGCUUGGAGCAACCUGGUUUAGUGGAAGCUGUCCCUGCCUAUGGCAGCGUUUGGAACAAGAUGAGUUUUAAGGUGCUUCCAACCAGUCUGAUAUUCUGUACCACAGAAGCUUUUCAAUCAACAAUGGCCAUCUUUUGCAGACUCCUCUUUAAAUGUUACAGUAGAAAUGUGAACCUUGUUGGAGUUGUCAGUGUCCUGAUUAGAAGCAGAAGAUGGCAUUAGGAAUAGCUAAAAUGGCUACUUGGAAUGCAGAGGUCUAUGUAAAUAUACCCUCCAACUGCAGCUGCUGUGGAAAAAGAAGAAAUUAUAAGGAAGCAGGUGAAAGAAGCAGCAUUUACAGAAGAAGCAAAAGGAAAAUCACUGAAGGAAAUCAGUAAGUUGAAUGAAGAAGAAUGAAUGAGUAAUACUGGAAUUGGCUCUUAUUACCAGACAGAAAGAGAGAGUAUUUGUGGUUGGGAAGCACAUAGGCAUGUAUGCACUUAUUUGCAUAAUUAAUAGACAAGAUGAAAGUGUUUCUACCCUACAUUGGAAACAAGGGGAGAUGAUGUCAAGCUUUGGUAAAACGAAGAUCAUCCUGGAGCUUUGAAUGACUACCCAUUACAUUUCUGAGUAUUAAAAUUAUGCUGGAAAAACAAGAAUUUAGAUGUAAAGUUGGACCCUUCAGAAGCAUCCUAUUACUAUUUUACUAGAGCACUUGCAGGAUCUCUCUUCACUACAGACACCUACUGGAUUAACUAUGCAGCAGCACAGUGUAUUUGAGAUUUAGCUGUCAUCACCUCUGCCUCAUGUUGGGCAACAGGUUCUCAAGUCAUACAGUGAUAUGCAUAAAAAAUGAUGCAUAAGUGUCAUUGCUUAGAAAUUCACUGGAAAUCCUCGAACUGAAGGAAAUAAACCCUAUGGAAUUUUUAAGCAUAGGAUUCAGGAAGACACUUGAAAACAUGUCUGCAGUAAAACAAAUUGUACCAAACGUCUUUAGAUGGGAACAUUUAACAGAAGAAAAUGCGUGAGAAAGGAAAGAGGCAAAGACUGGUUGAGAUUUUUCAAGCUCCAGUGUCAUGACAGUUUUGAAGAUACAGAUCAACAACCUUAAAUGUCAAAAAAUUGCCCUAACCAACCUAUUUGUUAUGGGAUUUCAGCCUACAAAUGAACAUAGAGUAUUUCUACAUCACCACUUUUGUAAUGGAGUCUUCUGGGAAUACCCUCAAUGCCAGCAUAAAAUUUAGCUUAGAUAAAAUAAAACAGAGAGAGGAAAUAAAAAAGUACACAUGAACCCAGUGGCAUGAUGGCUGGGAGAACUUGAUCUGUCACAGUGCAAAUAUUCAAUACUAAUGCACAUCUUGCUUUGUGCUCCUGGGUGCCUCAGAAGGAUUCAGACUGGUUUUGACAAAUGCAGUAACUUCAGCACUAGCAUAAAGAGCUCCCUGUUCUCUCACUUACCUGUUACCAGUUUUGUCCUGUAAAGACUCACUGAACAGACACAUCCCACAGUACAGCAGAGACCAGCCCAGAUAAUAUGCACAGAAAACUGCUGUGGAAGGAGCUACACUGGCUCACAGAAGUUCACUGCAUCCUGCUCUCGUAAGCACCAAAUCAAAGGAUCAGAGAUCUUCCUCAAGAAAACACUCCUAAGUCCUCAAAACAUUGCUUGUCGAGUUGGAUCUCUAACCCAGGCUAACUUCCUUCAGAGUGAAAGUCACCAAAGCUAAACUAGUGUUAAACAGAUUCCUCCAAAAUAUCCAAAGCAGUUUCUUUCUAUUGACUUUAAAUAAUCAUUUCUCUGUACCUGUGUCUAGUUGUUCAGUCACAAUAGCUCAGUCCAGGCAAAACUGAACUGAUACGAAACACAAGCAUAAAUAUGUCCACAAGGAAUGUUUUAAUUUUGCACCUGACUGACAGAUAACACUAAAAAAAUGAAAAAAAUACUAAUUCUAAACUUUUUGCAAAUUACUUUUGCAACAUCUAUUCCACACCAUCAAGUGGCAUAACCAGGCAGUACUAUUGUAAGAGUCAACAUUUCUAGAAACUGCUUUCCAUGCUGAAAGAGUCACUCCAGCACCCUCUCUUUAAAGGCAGCAGGUGAAGGAAAGAAACAAUUAGAAAGGAGGUUUCAGAUUAAGAACACAUUAAAAUAUGAGUGUUUCAAAGAAAACAAUAAAAUAAAGAAGACUUUUUACUGUUAGCCUUUAAUUUUGUGGGGCUUGUUAUCCAAUCUAACAUUAUCCAAAUUUUGUGAUGUACAUUCUGCAAUCUCAUCUUAAAGCUCAAGAAAGCUCCUCUUAGCUAUUGCCUUUAAACAGUGUCAAGCUUCAAAAAAGGGAAGGGGGUGGAAAAGACAAAGUGGAACAAGCAGACAAAUGCUUUAAAACUUUUCAGCAUUUACAAGAACAGCAAUUCUAGGACAACCCCAGCUACUCACAAACAAGAUGAAAUCCCCUGAGUGAGAGAAAAUUUAUCUUCACUUUAAAAUAAAAAAACAUCCUCCAAAAAAAAAAAAAUCCCUCUCUAGAUUCCAAUCAGAGUAAUUUCCUCCCACCAUGUAACUACCUUUUGAAAGUUAUAUCAAGGAUUUGAGUUCUUUGAGUUCUCUGAGUUCUUUGCUUCAUGGCUGUUCUUAAGCUACAGCCCAUGGCUACUAACGGUACGUUUGGUUAGAAAUCACAACCCAAACCAGGGUCUACGAGAGCUGGAAAGACAAUUAGCAAACUGCUGCUAUCACAAAAACAGUGGGCAGUGCUUGGCAGGACUCAAGAGCUGCAGCAGGGGAAGAAUGAAGAAAAUCAGCAUUAAAAAAGCUGAUUCAUAACAGCAUGAAACAGGAAGGUGAUUAAAAAAGGAACAAAACAGACGUGCAGGUACAGAGUGCCCAGGAUAGCCAUUUGCAUUGUUUUCCAUAUUUCUAUACUUUUACACAGAAAUAUGUGCAGAUUUUUUAAUAUCCUGAGGUUUACAUUCAAAACACUUCUGCAUUUGUGGUGGGAAAUAAAACAAGAAAAAACCCAACCAAAAAAAAAA